RNAcentral lists this ribosomal RNA (499 nucleotides) under uncultured bacterium. RNAcentral describes it as "partial 16S ribosomal RNA". It matches the Rfam family "Bacterial small subunit ribosomal RNA", at positions 28 to 507 of the family's 1533-position model. The record is from RNAcentral.
GACGAACGCUGGCGGCGUGCUUAACACAUGCAAGUCGAACGGGCCCGCUCUCUUUUUUGGGGGUGGGUUGAGUGGCGAACGGGUGAGUAUCACGUGAGUAACCUGCCCCCUGCUCCUGGAUAACUGCUUGAAAGGGCGGCUAAUACGGGGUGUGCCGGCUGGUCCGCAUGGGCCUGGUCGGGAUAGUUUCAUCUUCGGGUGUUUCGGUGGGGGAUGGGCUCGCGGCCUAUCAGCUUGUUGGUGGGGUGAUGGCCCACCAAGGCGGUGACGGGUAGCCGGCCGGAGAGGGUGGGCGGCCACACUGGGACUGAGACACGGCCCAGACUCCUGCGGGAGGCAGCAGUGGGGGGUAUUGCACAAUGGGCGGAAGCCUGAUGCAGCGACGUCGCGUGAGGGAUGGAGGCCUUCGGGUUGUGAACCUCUUUCUCCGGUGGUGAAGGCCCUGUCCGUUGCGGCGGGGUUGACGGUAGCCGGGUAUGAAGCGCCGGCUAACUACGUG